RNAcentral lists this ribosomal RNA (1158 nucleotides) under Cyanobium sp. ULC083. RNAcentral's name for it is "bacterial SSU rRNA". It matches the Rfam family "Bacterial small subunit ribosomal RNA", at positions 361 to 1533 of the family's 1533-position model. The record is from RNAcentral. Lineage: Bacteria; Bacillati; Cyanobacteriota; Cyanophyceae; Synechococcales; Prochlorococcaceae.
UUUUUUCGCAAUGGGCGCAAGCCUGACGGAGCAACGCCGCGUGAGGGACGAAGGCCUCUGGGCUGUAAACCUCUUUUCUCAAGGAAGAAGACAUGACGGUACUUGAGGAAUAAGCCACGGCUAAUUCCGUGCCAGCAGCCGCGGUAAUACGGGAGUGGCAAGCGUUAUCCGGAAUUAUUGGGCGUAAAGCGUCCGCAGGCGGCCCAGAAAGUCUGUUGUUAAAAAGUGGAGCUCAACUCCAUCCAGGCAAUGGAAACUACUGGGCUAGAGUGUGGUAGGGGCAGAGGGAAUUCCCGGUGUAGCGGUGAAAUGCGUAGAUAUCGGGAAGAACACCAGUGGCGAAGGCGCUCUGCUGGGCCAUAACUGACGCUCAUGGACGAAAGCCAGGGGAGCGAAAGGGAUUAGAUACCCCUGUAGUCCUGGCCGUAAACGAUGAACACUAGGUGUCGGGGGAAUCGACCCCCUCGGUGUCGUAGCCAACGCGUUAAGUGUUCCGCCUGGGGAGUACGCACGCAAGUGUGAAACUCAAAGGAAUUGACGGGGGCCCGCACAAGCGGUGGAGUAUGUGGUUUAAUUCGAUGCAACGCGAAGAACCUUACCAGGGCUUGACAUCCUGCGAACCCCUGAGAGAUCGGGGGGUGCCUUCGGGAACGCAGUGACAGGUGGUGCAUGGCUGUCGUCAGCUCGUGUCGUGAGAUGUUGGGUUAAGUCCCGCAACGAGCGCAACCCACGUCUUUAGUUGCCAGCAUUCAGUUGGGCACUCUAGAGAGACCGCCGGUGAUAAACCGGAGGAAGGUGUGGAUGACGUCAAGUCAUCAUGCCCCUUACGUCCUGGGCUACACACGUACUACAAUGCUACGGACAAAGGGCAGCAAACUCGCGAGAGCUAGCAAAUCCCAUAAACCGUGGCUCAGUUCAGAUCGUAGGCUGCAACUCGCCUACGUGAAGGAGGAAUCGCUAGUAAUCGCAGGUCAGCAUACUGCGGUGAAUACGUUCCCGGGCCUUGUACACACCGCCCGUCACACCAUGGAAGUUGGCCAUGCCCGAAGUCGUUACUCCAACCCGUAAGGGAGGAGGACGCCGAAGGUGGGGCUGAUGACUGGGGUGAAGUCGUAACAAGGUAGCCGUACCGGAAGGUGCGGCUGGAUCACCUCCUAA